GACGAACGCUGGCGGCGUGCCUAAUACAUGCAAGUAGAACGCUGAAGGAGGAGCUUGCUCUUCUGGAUGAGUUGCGAACGGGUGAGUAACGCGUAGGUAACCUGCCUGGUAGCGGGGGAUAACUAUUGGAAACGAUAGCUAAUACCGCAUAAGAGUAGAUGUUGCAUGACAUUUACUUAAAAGGUGCAAUUGCAUCACUACCAGAUGGACCUGCGUUGUAUUAGCUAGUUGGUGGGGUAACGGCUUACCAAGGCGACGAUACAUAGCCGACCUGAGAGGGUGAUCGGCCACCCUGGGACUGAGACACGGCCCAGACUCCUACGGGAGGCAGCAGUAGGGAAUCUUCGGCAAUGGACGGAAGUCUGACCGAGCAACGCCGCGUGAGUGAAGAAGGUUUUCGGAUCGUAAAGCUCUGUUGUAAGAGAAGAACGAGUGUGAGAGUGGAAAGUUCACACUGUGACGGUAUCUUACCAGAAAGGGACGGCUAACUACGUG
RNAcentral lists this ribosomal RNA (495 nucleotides) under uncultured bacterium. RNAcentral's name for it is "partial 16S ribosomal RNA". It matches the Rfam family "Bacterial small subunit ribosomal RNA", at positions 28 to 507 of the family's 1533-position model. The record is from RNAcentral.